GCUGCUUUUCGUGCUUUUGCCGCGGUUAUACUAGCAUGAGUAGUUUGUUCCGAAAUACUAGCGUUGGGAUUGCUGUUCGCCAUCAUGUAAUCGGUAAAUAUUAUUGCUUUACGGUCUGGAUGAUUUAGGGAAAAGUAUUGUAGAAGACGAACAAGUUUUUUUCGUUGAUUCUGUGAGAAAAAGACGCUUACUCGUAGGCCUACCGCCCGGUACCACAGAGUACAGACCAUCAUUCAUGCAAUCGAUGCAUGGCGUGUGUGUCAUUGACACUGUCGAGUCUGUGCAGACUUAAGACUGCAGUCUAGGCGUUCAGGCUACAGGCUUCAUCAUGUCUGUGCCCUCCGUGCCACCCCUGGGGUUUUUAAUGCCACUCGUGCCCACACUCAAGUGUUUUGAAGAAUGUAAAAUCCAGUGUGUGAUAAACAUGUGUAAAGAAACCUUUCGUAAGAAGCCAGAAGAGCUUUACAACAAUCUUGGACUGGGAGAUGAAGGCCAUCAUAAACUUCUUGUAGGAUGAGUUGCCGCAGACCGAGAUGAAAACCAUGAUGAAUGUCCGUGAGCCAGAGGCUAUGAUUUGUUUAAUACAACAAUGCGAGGGACUUAACAAAAUUGAGGCGGAAAUAUUCUUGAGGCAGUGUCGGUGCAUGGAAGAAACGGAAACAUUGGAUUAAGGAUUUAUUUCAUAGUGAAUUACACAGUCACAAAUGGAUUACACACGUUCUGGAUUAGACUAGUUUCUGCUGCAACUGACAUUUUUGCAGGUGCCCACUCGUAGGCGAUUCCUUGAUGUCUUCCUUGGAUUUUACAUGAUAUUAUGUCAUUUUCGCCAACAUCGGGUUUUGGCGCCAAGACGUUUGUUCCUAGAACAGUUGAUUUAAAUGCCGAAUGUGGUCAGUUUUAAUUUAUAUCGCAGGUGUCUACCCAAACAAUUUUAGAUGCUUUCUGCUGAAUCUUCUAUUACUACUGUUUUUACUGGGGUUUCAUCGAUGUUUUUUGGUGGAGUGUGACUCUAAAGUAAUAGGCAGCUUGUUAUGCCCCCGCCAAUGCGUAAAGCAUUGCGGAGGCAUUAUGUUUUACCAAUGUCCGUCAGCCGGUAGGCGUCAGGCGUCUGUAAACUUUUCGUUUCCUCUCAUUUUAACAAGAACGCUUUGAGUAAUAACCAUGUAACUUUUUAUGUGGGUAGAAAAAGAUAACGUGUACAGCGGGCAUUACAGACCAAUAACUCUUUCACGAUGUCAACUAAACCCAGUCAGCUAUGACACCAGCUGCCCGGGGUUGUCUGAAAAACACUUCACUUUCCUAAUACACCAACUCAAUGUGCUCACCGGGGCAUAUGCUACGCCCUGCGUUGCUCUUGUUAUUGCAGUAUUUUUGUUCUUCCUCUGGUUUACCUAUAAACUAUUUUUCCAAUCUCCAAUCAUGUUUGAUGCUUUAGCCAUUUUGUUUCAGCUCUUAGAUAGUAGAAAAACGUGUUAUUCAUUAUUUCUGGUAGCACAAGUCCUGGCACGAAAUACCUUUCCCGCCAUAAUAUCAGUACCAAGACGUCACAGGGUAGGUCCUAACUCCAGGAAACGCCUUACUCGU
Lineus longissimus is the source of this 1584-nucleotide long non-coding RNA. RefSeq lists it as uncharacterized. NCBI's taxonomy places the organism in Eukaryota, Metazoa, Nemertea, Pilidiophora, Heteronemertea, Lineidae. The record is from RefSeq and is a predicted model, not a curated record. The transcript has 5 exons.